Pseudophryne corroboree (corroboree frog) is the source of this 602-nucleotide long non-coding RNA. RefSeq lists it as uncharacterized. Lineage: Eukaryota; Metazoa; Chordata; Amphibia; Anura; Myobatrachidae. The transcript has 3 exons. The record is from RefSeq and is a predicted model, not a curated record.
ACGUUAGGACUCCUCCCCAUUGUUCCCACCUGGAAUACUUGCUAUAUGCAACCCAUCUGGUCAGAUACCCAGAGGUCUGAACGAUUACGCUAGUGCCGCUCGGUGCUUACGAGACGCGGCCAGCCGGCCUCCGCUGCAGCAUACCGGUCACAACAUCUGAAUUGACCCGGCAGGUCUCUGUGAGGUGAUACAGUCCUGGCUCAGCUCCCCCUCGCUGCAGGACGAGUUUGUUGGUGAGAGCACUACGAGGGGAUCACCUCAGCCAGCGCAGUCUGGUGCUAACUACCUGCACGUUUUGGCCUGUCAUCAACCAAGGGUCAGCGGUCUCUACAUUGCCAAUUAAUCCAGCAGCCGCAUGAGUGGCAACCAAAAGAAACGGCACACUACUACCAUAAAUGUCGCACAUGAGGCUGCUGGUGCUGCAAGUUCAUCCCGCCAUCACCCGACUGCGCAAAUACACACAAGCCACGCAUAAACACGUGGUACAUAAAAGACACCGUCCAGAUCUGCUGACACCAGAAGCUGCAUCUCCCCCAAUGUGACGCAUCUCUAUGGUCUCAUCAAGGCCACCGUCCGAUUUGUUGGCACCUUCACCAACACGU